This 254-nucleotide ribosomal RNA is filed under the name uncultured bacterium. Its description in RNAcentral is "partial 16S ribosomal RNA". It matches the Rfam family "Bacterial small subunit ribosomal RNA", at positions 524 to 776 of the family's 1533-position model. The record is from RNAcentral.
UACGUAGGGUGCAAGCGUUGUCCGGAAUUAUUGGGCGUAAAGAGCUCGUAGGCGGUUCGGUAAGUCAGGUGUGAAAUCUCCACGCUCAACGUGGAGGCGCCACCUGAAACUGCCGUGACUCGAGUCCGGUAGGGGAGUGUGGAAUUCCCGGUGUAGCGGUGAAAUGCGCAGAUAUCGGGAAGAACACCCGUGGCGAAGGCGGCUCUCUGGGACGGUACUGACGCUGAGACGCGAAAGCGUGGGGAGCGAACAGG